Molecule: long non-coding RNA, 1471 nt
Filed under: Equus asinus (donkey)
Lineage: Eukaryota; Metazoa; Chordata; Mammalia; Perissodactyla; Equidae
Description: lncRNA (ENSEASG00005031796.1)
Source: RNAcentral
AGUGAUGCCCGGAGCCACUCCUAGGUAUUACAUUUAAUCAGUCUGGGCAUCAACACUGAAAAAUCUCCCAGGUGAAUCUAAUGUGCAAUCAGGGCUGAGAACCACUGAUUAAGCCCAUAUGGUGGUGCUCAGCAAGUGGCAGAAGACUGAGGAGCUUGGCUCACCUUCAGUCUUGGGCUCAGAGAGAAGCAGAGUCCUGACCUCCUUGCCCCAACUGGCCACUCCGGGGCUGGGAUAAGAUGAGCCCUUGGAAGUAGUUCCUAUUCAGGGAGUUUUCUGGUUAGAACUGAUCCCAUCUCUAGAGGCCAAGUCAAAGAUAAAGGAUUUGAGGAAAGACAGAAACUGUCAGCCAUUUUUUUUGCUUAAUACGGAUCCAUCCUCAAGCAAACAAGAGCUCAGCUACUUGUUUGAAUGAAAGGAUUGAAGCAAACUGAUUCUCACUAAAGUCUGGAUGACUGAGCCCUGCCCAUACCCCAGCAUUCUGGGAUUUGAAAAGAGGCCAUUUGCUGUCCUAGGAUAUCUUUGGUUUGUAGCAUUCCAGUUUAUCUUGACUCCAGUCCCUAAGCUAUUCCCAGGAAAAAUGGAGCAUUGCCAUGUGUCUCCCCAUCUCCAGGCCCUGAAAGAUUGCCUGCCAUUCUCAGGGAGAGGGUGUACAAAUUGGACUCCAGUGGAGACCGGCUCGGGAUGUUGGAUGAGUCUCUGACAGAGGAUAUGAAUCUUGGUCCCAGGUCCUGGUGAAGGAUGGUGGGGCUGACAGGCCUACAUCAAACACGCCUCUGUUCUGGGGGAGCCAUCACUCACCCCUCUGAACUCUGGUGGCACAUGCUAAUGAGGGUCCAGCUCAUAGACCAUCCCUGCCCAAAGGCUGGGGGUGGGGAGGGGGCUCAGCCUCUUGGCAGAUGCAGAAAGGGCAGCCCUCGGCAGAAUUGUGAAGGAGACAGCAUCUAGCUCGGCCCUCUCCCUACUUUCUAAGAGUCUCCAUUUUCUUUUUCUUACCUUCCUCUGCCUCUGCUUCACCUUCCUAGUCGUUUAUCCUUCCUAAGGGUGUGGACUCCUUUCUCAAAUGCUAACUAAAUGCUAUUAAGAAUUUGCAUGUGUUAUUCAUUUCUCUUGGUAGCUUUUAUGUUUAUGUGGUCUCCUAGGCAUAGGACGAAUACUUGACCUAAGGAACAAAUGGCUGAUUGUCACAUUACAGGCACCUGCUAGGAAAUGAUCUUGAGAGCCUUUAUGAAAAUGGAAGUUCCCUUUUUAUCAGUGGGUGGUCCUGUCAGCUGAGGGGGAACUGAACACAGAUGAUGAUGAUGCUGAUGAUGAUGAUGAUGAAGAGGACACCAAGAUGAGGGCAAAUUAACAUCUAUUAAGUGCUCACCAUGUACCGGGCACUAUUGAGAGCUCUCUAUAUAAAGCUCACUUACUCCUCCGAUCAGAUCUGUGGUGGGAACUAUUGCUAUUCAGAAAUGAAGAAACUGCU